This 384-nucleotide unclassified non-coding RNA is filed under the name uncultured Penicillium. Its description in RNAcentral is "sequence contains ITS2". The stretch from base 1 to 154 matches the Rfam family "5.8S ribosomal RNA". The record is from RNAcentral. Lineage: Eukaryota; Fungi; Ascomycota; Eurotiomycetes; Eurotiales; Aspergillaceae.
AACUUUCGGCAAUGGAUCACUUGGUUCCGGCAUCGAUGAAGAACGCAGCGAAAUGCGAUAAGUAAUGUGAAUUGCAGAAUUCAGUGAAUCAUCGAGUCUUUGAACGCACAUUGCGCCCCCUGGUAUUCCGGGGGGCAUGCCUGUCCGAGCGUCAUUGCUGCCCUCAAGCACGGCUUGUGUGUUGGGCCCCCGCCCCCCGGUCCCGGGGGGCGGGCCCGAAAGGCAGCGGCGGCACCGCGUCCGGUCCUCGAGCGUAUGGGGCUUUGUCACCCGCUCUGUAGGCCCGGCCGGCGCCCGCCGGCGACCCCAAUCAAUCUUUUUCAGGUUGACCUCGGAUCAGGUAGGGAUACCCGCUGAACUUAAGCAUAUCAAUAAGCGGAGGCU